CAGUAGCCGCGGUAAUACGUAGGUGGCAAGCGUUGUCCGGAAUUAUUGGGCGUAAAGCGCGCGCAGGUGGUUUAAUAAGUCUGAUGUGAAAGCCCACGGCUCAACCGUGGAGGGUCAUUGGAAACUGUUAAACUUGAGUGCAGGAGAGAAAAGUGGAAUUCCUAGUGUAGCGGUGAAAUGCGUAGAGAUUAGGAGGAACACCAGUGGCGAAGGCGGCUUUUUGGCCUGUAACUGACACUGAGGCGCGAAAGCGUGGGGAGCAAACAGGAUUAGAUACCCGAGUAGUCCCUGUCUCUUAUAA
This 301-nucleotide ribosomal RNA is filed under the name uncultured bacterium. RNAcentral's name for it is "partial 16S ribosomal RNA". It matches the Rfam family "Bacterial small subunit ribosomal RNA", at positions 509 to 809 of the family's 1533-position model. The record is from RNAcentral.